Molecule: non-coding RNA, 85 nt
Filed under: unclassified sequences
Description: PhotoRC-II RNA
Rfam family: PhotoRC-II RNA
Source: RNAcentral
UCAUCUUAAUAUACCCCUAACCGAGACCACGGGGAAAAGUCUCUCAUAUCCACCAGUGAAGGGAUUGGUGGAAAUACCAGUAUCG